RNAcentral lists this ribosomal RNA (538 nucleotides) under Klebsiella pneumoniae. RNAcentral's name for it is "partial 23S ribosomal RNA". It matches the Rfam family "Bacterial large subunit ribosomal RNA", at positions 2318 to 2850 of the family's 2925-position model. Lineage: Bacteria; Pseudomonadati; Pseudomonadota; Gammaproteobacteria; Enterobacterales; Enterobacteriaceae. The record is from RNAcentral.
UAGCUAAUCCUGGUCGGACAUCAGGAGGUUAGUGCAAUGGCAUAAGCUAGCUUGACUGCGAGCGUGACGGCGCGAGCAGGUGCGAAAGCAGGUCAUAGUGAUCCGGUGGUUCUGAAUGGAAGGGCCAUCGCUCAACGGAUAAAAGGUACUCCGGGGAUAACAGGCUGAUACCGCCCAAGAGUUCAUAUCGACGGCGGUGUUUGGCACCUCGAUGUCGGCUCAUCACAUCCUGGGGCUGAAGUAGGUCCCAAGGGUAUGGCUGUUCGCCAUUUAAAGUGGUACGCGAGCUGGGUUUAGAACGUCGUGAGACAGUUCGGUCCCUAUCUGCCGUGGGCGCUGGAGAAUUGAGGGGGGCUGCUCCUAGUACGAGAGGACCGGAGUGGACGCAUCACUGGUGUUCGGGUUGUCAUGCCAAUGGCACUGCCCGGUAGCUAAAUGCGGAAGAGAUAAGUGCUGAAAGCAUCUAAGCACGAAACUUGCCCCGAGAUGAGUUCUCCCUGAGACUUUAAGUCUCCUGAAGGAACGUUAAAGACGAUGA